This 912-nucleotide ribosomal RNA is filed under the name Alternaria alternata. RNAcentral's name for it is "LSU rRNA". It matches the Rfam family "Eukaryotic large subunit ribosomal RNA", at positions 38 to 965 of the family's 3401-position model. The record is from RNAcentral. Lineage: Eukaryota; Fungi; Ascomycota; Dothideomycetes; Pleosporales; Pleosporaceae.
GCAUAUCAAUAAGCGGAGGAAAAGAAACCAACAGGGAUUGCCCUAGUAACGGCGAGUGAAGCGGCAACAGCUCAAAUUUGAAAUCUGGCUCUUUUAGAGUCCGAGUUGUAAUUUGCAGAGGGCGCUUUGGCUUUGGCAGCGGUCCAAGUUCCUUGGAACAGGACGUCACAGAGGGUGAGAAUCCCGUACGUGGUCGCUGGCUAUUGCCGUGUAAAGCCCCUUCGACGAGUCGAGUUGUUUGGGAAUGCAGCUCUAAAUGGGAGGUACAUUUCUUCUAAAGCUAAAUAUUGGCCAGAGACCGAUAGCGCACAAGUAGAGUGAUCGAAAGAUGAAAAGCACUUUGGAAAGAGAGUCAAACAGCACGUGAAAUUGUUGAAAGGGAAGCGCUUGCAGCCAGACUUGCUUACAGUUGCUCAUCCGGGUUUUUACCCGGUGCACUCUUCUGUAGGCAGGCCAGCAUCAGUUUGGGCGGUAGGAUAAAGGUCUCUGUCACGUACCUCCUUUCGGGGAGGCCUUAUAGGGGAGACGACAUACUACCAGCCUGGACUGAGGUCCGCGCAUCUGCUAGGAUGCUGGCGUAAUGGCUGUAAGCGGCCCGUCUUGAAACACGGACCAAGGAGUCUAACAUCUAUGCGAGUGUUUGGGUGUCAAGCCCGAGCGCGUAAUGAAAGUGAACGGAGGUGGGAACCCGCAAGGGUGCACCAUCGACCGAUCCUGAUGUCUUCGGAAGGAUUUGAGUAAGAGCAUGGCUGUUGGGACCCGAAAGAUGGUGAACUAUGCUUGAAUAGGGUGAAGCCAGAGGAAACUCUGGUGGAGGCUCGCAGCGGUUCUGACGUGCAAAUCGAUCGUCAAAUUUGGGCAUAGGGGGCGAAAGACUAAUCGAACUAUCCUWGCWAGCUGGGUCCUGCCGAA